CAAUGUUGCAGGAUUCCCGAUAGGAUUUACGUGUGAUAUGUAAAUAUUCCUUGUAACCGACAAAACAAAGGGGGAAUAAAAAUG
RNAcentral lists this small RNA (84 nucleotides) under Vagococcus fluvialis. Its description in RNAcentral is "SAM-III sequence". It matches the Rfam family "SAM-III riboswitch aptamer (SMK box)". Lineage: Bacteria; Bacillati; Bacillota; Bacilli; Lactobacillales; Enterococcaceae. The record is from RNAcentral.